UAGCUCAGUCAGUUGAGUGUGGUGCUGAUAACACCAAGGUCGCGGGUUCGAUCCCUGC
RNAcentral lists this transfer RNA (58 nucleotides) under Apaloderma vittatum (bar-tailed trogon). It matches the Rfam family "tRNA", at positions 8 to 63 of the family's 71-position model. Rfam says of the family: Transfer RNA (tRNA) molecules are approximately 80 nucleotides in length. Their secondary structure includes four short double-helical elements and three loops (D, anti-codon, and T loops). The record is from Rfam by way of RNAcentral. Lineage: Eukaryota; Metazoa; Chordata; Aves; Trogoniformes; Trogonidae.